GUGUCAGCCGCCGCGGUAAUACGUAGGGGGCAAGCGUUGUCCGGAUUUAUUGGGCGUAAAGCGCGUGUAGGCGGCUUGGCAAGUCCGCUGUGAAAACUCGAGGCUCAACCUCGAGAUGUCGGUGGAAACUGCUUGGCUAGAGUCCGGAAGAGGAGUGUGGAAUUCCUGGUGUAGCGGUGAAAUGCGCAGAUAUCAGGAAGAACACCUAUGGCGAAGGCAGCACUCUGGGACGGUACUGACGCUGAGACGCGAAAGCGUGGGGAGCGAACAGGAUUAGAUACCCGCGUAGUCC
This 292-nucleotide ribosomal RNA is filed under the name uncultured bacterium. RNAcentral describes it as "partial 16S ribosomal RNA". It matches the Rfam family "Bacterial small subunit ribosomal RNA", at positions 505 to 796 of the family's 1533-position model. The record is from RNAcentral.